GUAGGUUUCUCUCCUGUUAGUGAUAAGUUCAAAUGCUAAAUGCACAUUAAAAUGUCAGUCUUUACUUGUUGAAUGUGGACAGAAAUAUAUAUAUGAAACCAAGAGGGCUGCAUUAACCUCAAUAUGCAUACAUUAUAAGGGUGCUGCUAAGGCCAAUUAUAACAACAUAUAAGAUCCAGCGCACUCACUCAUUCACUAAAUAGCAAUUUAAAAUCUCACAGAAAGUAAUAUCUUUCUGUUUUUUUUUGUUUUUUUUAAACACCUAGCCUUGGUAAAGAUAAUUGAGGUUUAGUUACAGUAUAUGAUCAUUGCAUAAGCCUGCUACAACAUCAAUGUACCCCAUUCUUGGCAGGUCCAAGCCUAAUGCUUGCUCUUAUGGGAUUAAUCCACUUACUUGGGAAAUGCUUCCUCCUGAGGCUCCCUGCAGGUCAAGGCUAAAUAGGGCCCUUGAAUAAGGCACUGUGACAGGGGGGUGCAAAGCCACAGGAGUGAGCCUGGACCCCCAAAUAUAUAGACAAAAUCAAGCGAAAUGACUCACUUGAACAUGCAUACAUUAUAAGGGUUCUGCUGGGGUCAAUUAUAACAACAUAUAAGAUUGUACCUGCCUCGUUUCACUCAUUCACUAAACAGCAGUUUCAAAAUAGUAAU
Non-coding RNA from Pelobates cultripes (western spadefoot toad), 648 nucleotides. NCBI's taxonomy places the organism in Eukaryota, Metazoa, Chordata, Amphibia, Anura, Pelobatidae. The record is from the annotation of a GenBank genome assembly.